AUUUCAAUAGUUAUUUUAAUAGCAUAGGGCUGUAAAUCCUAAGGUGGGUAUUCCUUGUUUUA
Molecule: transfer RNA, 62 nt
Filed under: Camaena poyuensis
Lineage: Eukaryota; Metazoa; Mollusca; Gastropoda; Stylommatophora; Camaenidae
Description: tRNA-Tyr
Source: RNAcentral